Molecule: long non-coding RNA, 831 nt
Filed under: Homo sapiens (human)
Lineage: Eukaryota; Metazoa; Chordata; Mammalia; Primates; Hominidae
Description: PREDICTED lncRNA (TCONS_00052956)
Source: RNAcentral
ACAACUAACUCAGCAAUGGUGGGCGCCCCUCCCCCAGCCUCGCUGCUGCCUUGCAGUUUGAUCUCGGACUGCUGUGCUAGCAAUGAGCGAGACUCCGUGGGCAUGGGACCCUCCGAGCCAGGUGCGAGAUAUAAUCUCCUGGUGUGCCUUGUUUUAAGCCCAUUGGAAAAGCACAGUAUUAGAGUGGGAGAGACCUGAUUUUCCAGGUGCCGUCUCUCACCCCUUUCUUUGACUAGGAAAGGGAAUUCCCUGACCCCUUGCACUUCCUGGGUGAGGCGAUGCCUCGCCUUGCUUUGGCUCGUGCACGGUGCACUGCACCCACUGACCUGCGCCUACUGUCUGGCACUCCCCAGCGAGAUGAACCUGGUACCUCAGUUGGAAAUGCAGAAAUCACCCGUUUUCUGCCUCACUCACGCUGGGAGCUGUAGACCGGAGCUGUUCCUAUUCGGCCAUCUUGGCUUCUCUCUGAGCUAAUACUUUUAAAAUAUUUUGCACUCCACAGAGGAAGGUUUUAUAUGUAAGUCUGAGUUUUGUUUUUCUGAGUUGUUUUCAGUUGGUCCAUGUGAUUACAUUUUUAUACAUGGUAAAAAUUUAUAUAUUUUUUUCCAAGUCUUUUUCUUUUUCUUUUCUUUUCUUUUUUCUUUUUAUUUUUGAGACGGAGUUUUGUUCUUGUUGUCCAGGAUGGAGUGCAAUGGCAUGAUCUCAGCUCACCGCAACCUCUGCCUCCCGGAUUCAAGUGAUUCUCCUGCCUCAGCCUCUUGAGUAGCUGGGAUUACAGGUUGCUGCAGAAGUCAAGAGCUAACCAAGAAGACAAGGAAUGUAACAUAUUUA